This 538-nucleotide ribosomal RNA is filed under the name Crassostrea tulipa. RNAcentral describes it as "partial 16S ribosomal RNA". It matches the Rfam family "Bacterial large subunit ribosomal RNA", at positions 1796 to 2620 of the family's 2925-position model. The record is from RNAcentral. Lineage: Eukaryota; Metazoa; Mollusca; Bivalvia; Ostreida; Ostreidae.
UCGCCUGUUUUUUCAAAAACAUCGCUAAAAGUAGUUGAUUUUUAGUAGUACCUGCCCAGUGCGUAUUAUCUUGUUAACGGCCGCCUUAGCGUGAGGGUGCUAAGGUAGCGAAAUUCCUUGCCUUUUAAUUGUAGGCCAGCAUGAAUGGUUUGACGAGGGCCUCACUGUCUCUUAGUUCUAUGUUGAAAUUGUAGUGUAGGUGAAGAUACCUUCAUAAAAAAGUAAGACAAAAAGACCCCGUGCAACUUUGAAAAUUAAGCUAGAUUAAAUGGCAAAAGAUUUUUAGGUGGGGCGCCAAAAGAGGAAACUAUAACCUCUGCUGUUUAAGCUAAUUCUUACUGGAGUUGACCUGACUUAAGUCGAUCAAAGGAGAAGUUACGCCGGGGAUAACAGGCCAAUUCUUUAGUAAAGCUCGUAUUAACUAAAGGGCUUGGCACCUCGAUGUUGAAUCAGGGAUUAUAGCUUCAAGGCGUAGAUGCUUUGAUUAGUAGGUCUGUUCGACCUUUGAAACCCUACGUGAUCUGACGACCCGGAAGCA